GUAGUUAAGUCAGAAGUGAAAUCCAAUAGCUCAACUAUUGAACUGCUUUUGAAACUGAUUACCUAGAAUAUGGGAGAGGUAGAUGGAAUUUCUGGUGUAGGGGUAAAAUCCGUAGAGAUCAGAAGGAAUACCGAUUGCGAAGGCGAUCUACUGGAACAUUAUUGACGCUGAGACGCGAAAGCGUGGGGAGCAAACAGGAUUAGAUACCCUGGUAGUCCACGCCCUAAACGAUGUACACUAGUUGUUGUGAGGCUCGACCUUGCAGUAAUGCAGUUAACACAUUAAGUGUACCGCCUGGGGAGUACGGUCGCAAGAUUAAAACUCAAAGGAAUAGACGGGGACCCGCACAAGCGGUGGAGCAUGUGGUUUAAUUCGACGAUACACGAAGAACCUUACCUGGACUUGACAUAGUAAGAACUUUCUAGAGAUAGAUUGGUGUCUGCUUGCAGAAACUUAUAUACAGGUGCUGCACGGCUGUCGUCAGCUCGUGUCGUGAGAUGUUGGGUUAAGUCCCGCAACGAGCGCAACCCUCGUCAUUAGUUGCUAACAGUUCGGCUGAGAACUCUAAUGAGACUGCCUACGCAAGUAGGAGGAAGGUGAGGACGACGUCAAGUCAUCAUGGCCCUUACGUCCAGGGCUACACACGUGCUACAAUGGGGUAUACAAAGAGCCGCAAUACGGUGACGUGGAGCAAAUCUCAAAAAUAUCUCCCAGUUCGGAUUGUAGUCUGCAACUCGA
RNAcentral lists this ribosomal RNA (738 nucleotides) under uncultured Arcobacter sp. RNAcentral's name for it is "bacterial SSU rRNA". It matches the Rfam family "Bacterial small subunit ribosomal RNA", at positions 579 to 1315 of the family's 1533-position model. The record is from RNAcentral. Lineage: Bacteria; Pseudomonadati; Campylobacterota; Epsilonproteobacteria; Campylobacterales; Arcobacteraceae.